Molecule: unclassified non-coding RNA, 341 nt
Filed under: Hevea brasiliensis (rubber tree)
Lineage: Eukaryota; Viridiplantae; Streptophyta; Magnoliopsida; Malpighiales; Euphorbiaceae
Source: RNAcentral
UGCAGUCUACAUGCCACAUCUUCAUAACAAUAUGUAACUUUGGAGAUCUCUCCUCCAUUUGUGCCUAAAUGGAAGAAUGAAGGAUUCUCUCACUUUCACUUUGGAGCUGUAAGAUUGAUUCUAACAUUACAUGGAAGACGAGGACUCUCAAUCACUGCUCGAGUCUCUCUUUUAGAUACUCGCUUCUCACAAUAUGAGCAUAUUGUCAUAGGCACUUGUCUCACAACACUUCAUGCUGGAAGUGUGAUUCUUACCCUUUUUUUUCCAACUACAAUAUGUCUUUGAGAGAUCCAAACCUUUGUACUGCCUUAAAAGUACAAGUUCAGAUCACUGGUACAGAA